AAUGAACGUUGGCGGCGUGGAUUAGGCAUGCAAGUCGUGCGAUAACCCCGCAAGGGGGGAAAGCGGCGAAAGGGAGAGUAACGCGUGGGUACCUGCCCCUUGGUCCGGAAUAGCUGCGGGAAACUGCAGGUAAUGCCGGAUAAUAUCCUCGGAUCAAAGGUGUGAUUCCGCCGAGGGAGGGGCCCGCGUUCUAUUAGCUAGUUGGUAGGGUAUGGCCUACCAAGGCGACGAUGGAUACCGGGUGUGAGAGCAUGACCCGGCUCACUGGGACUGAGACACUGCCCAGACACCUACGGGUGUCUGCAGUCGAGAAUCUUCGGCAAUGGGCGCAAGCCUGACCGAGCGACGCCGCGUGCGGGAUGAAGGCCUUCGGGUUGUAAACCGCUGUCGUAGAGGAGGAAAUGCCAUGGGGUUCUCUCCAUGGUUUGACCUAUUCUAGGAGGAAGGACGGGCUAAGUUCGUGCCAGCCGCCGCGGUAA
This 479-nucleotide ribosomal RNA is filed under the name uncultured bacterium. Its description in RNAcentral is "partial 16S ribosomal RNA". It matches the Rfam family "Bacterial small subunit ribosomal RNA", at positions 28 to 523 of the family's 1533-position model. The record is from RNAcentral.